AUUUCUUUUCUUAAAUUUGCUCUAAACAAGAAUGUGUCCAAAGUACACGGAUGCCCCACUCCCACUAUCAUUUUCCAUGUUCAAUGGACCGUGAAAUUGGAUAAAAAAUAUAAUUAGGCAUUAAAAUUAGAAAGAUAAUAUUAGGGAACAUUUGUACUAAGUUUCAAGUUGAUUGGACUUCAACUUCAUCAAAAACUACCUUGACCAAAAACUUUAACCUGAAACAUGCACUUUCAUUUUCUAUGUUCAGUGGACUGUGAAAUUGGGGUCAAAAGUUUAAUUUGGCUUUAAAAUUAGAAAGAUCAUAUCAUAAGGAACAUGUGUACUAAGUUUCAAGUUGAUUGGACUUCAACUUCAUCAAAAACUACCUUGACCAAAAACUUUAACCUGAAGCGGGACAGACGGACGAACGAACAGACGAACGAACGAACAGACGGACAGACGAACGAAC
Molecule: long non-coding RNA, 451 nt
Filed under: Mytilus galloprovincialis (Mediterranean mussel)
Lineage: Eukaryota; Metazoa; Mollusca; Bivalvia; Mytilida; Mytilidae
Source: RNAcentral